Molecule: long non-coding RNA, 329 nt
Filed under: Zostera marina
Lineage: Eukaryota; Viridiplantae; Streptophyta; Magnoliopsida; Alismatales; Zosteraceae
Description: long non-coding RNA (ZMAR_LNC003704)
Source: RNAcentral
GGAUACGUACCGAAUAGUUGACGAUUGCGACCUGGCAGGUGGUUUCCCGUUACGCUCGCCACUUGGGUUCGACAUGGUAAUCUUGGAGAUGAUGUGCAGUAACUGAUGGGAAAGAAAUCGUCGCUGGGAAGAAAUCGCCGUUGGAGGAUGUUCAAAAUCGAGAGAUGAAUGCGUGUUGAAAAUGAGGGUUUCAGAAUAGGAAUAAUAGAUCGGGAUUUGCACAAUCACCUCCUCCUUCCAUCCAUCGGUCUAUAGGAUGUUCUAUGUACAUCCUCUGCCGAUGUGUCAUAAACUCCCAAUCAAAGCUUGCAUGUCAUAAGAAGGGUCAG